Gossypium hirsutum (cotton) is the source of this 143-nucleotide non-coding RNA. Lineage: Eukaryota; Viridiplantae; Streptophyta; Magnoliopsida; Malvales; Malvaceae. The record is from Rfam.
UAUUAAAAUUUAUUUAUUUUUACUAUUGAAAACUGACAUAACUGAAAAAAUAACCAAAUAGUGACUUGUAAUGUGUCACGUGUAUCUCAUGUUAAAAUACAGAGACUAAUUUUAAAUUGUAAAAAUGGAUAAAACUUUUAACA